ACGAACGCUGGCGGCGUGCCUAAUACAUGCAAGUCGAACGAGAGCGACCGGUGCUUGCACUGGUCAAUCUAGUGGCGAACGGGUGAGUAACACGUGGGUAACCUGCCCAUCAGAGGGGGAUAACAUCCGGAAACGGAUGCUAAAACCGCAUAGGUCUUCGAACCGCAUGGUUUGAAGAGGAAAAGAGGCGCAAGCUUCUGCUGAUGGAUGGACCCGCGGUGCAUUAGCUAGUUGGUGAGGUAACGGCUCACCAAGGCCGUGAUGCAUAGCCAACCUGAGAGGGUGAUCGGCCACAUUGGGACUGAGACACGGCCCAAACUCCUACGGGAGGCAGCAGUAGGGAAUCUUCCGCAAUGGACGCAAGUCUGACGGAGCAACGCCGCGUGAGUGAAGAAGGUUUUCGGAUCGUAAAACUCUGUUGUUAGAGAAGAACAAGUGCUAGAGUAACUGUUAGCGCCUUGACGGUAUCUAACCAGAAAGCCACGGCUAACUACGUG
RNAcentral lists this ribosomal RNA (497 nucleotides) under uncultured bacterium. RNAcentral's name for it is "partial 16S ribosomal RNA". It matches the Rfam family "Bacterial small subunit ribosomal RNA", at positions 29 to 507 of the family's 1533-position model. The record is from RNAcentral.